AGAGAGCUGGCGCCACAGGCAUCACACAUGCGUCGAGAGCGCACUUUCGGGGAGCGGCGGACGGGUUAGUAACGCGUGGGAAUAUACCCAGUUCUACGGAAUAGCCUCUGGAAACGAAGAGUAAUACCGUAUACGCCCUUCGGGGGAAAGAUUUAUCGGAGAUGGAUUAGCCCGCGUUAGAUUAGAUAGUUGGUGGGGUAAUGGCUUACCAAGUCUACGAUCUAUAGCUGGUUUGAGAGGAUGAUCAGCAACACUGGGACUGAGACACGGCCCAGACUCCUACGGGAGGCAGCAGUGGGGAAUCUUAGACAAUGGGCGCAAGCCUGAUCUAGCCAUGCCGCGUGAGUGAUGAAGGCCUUAGGGUCGUAAAGCUCUUUCACCUGUGAUGAUAAUGACGGUAGCAGGAGAAGAAACCCCGGCUAACUCCGUGCCAGCAGCCGCGGUAAUACGGAGGGGGUUAGCGUUGUUCGGAAUUACUGGGCGUAAAGCGCACGUAGGCGGAUUAAUAAGUUAGAGGUGAAAUCCCAGGGCUCAACCCCUGGAACUGCCUUUUAAAACUAUCAGUCUAGAGAUCGAGAGAGGUGAGUGGAAUUCCAAGUGUAGAGGUGAAAUUCGUAGAUAUUUGGAGGAACACCAGUGGCGAAGGCGGCUCACUGGCUCGAUACUGACGCUGAGG
RNAcentral lists this ribosomal RNA (676 nucleotides) under bacterium IMCC11790. RNAcentral's name for it is "bacterial SSU rRNA". It matches the Rfam family "Bacterial small subunit ribosomal RNA", at positions 30 to 751 of the family's 1533-position model. The record is from RNAcentral.